AAAAGGAGAGUCUCAGAGAGAGAGGGAGAGAGAAGGGACGUGUGAACAGCGUGAGCAGAUCCUGACAGCUCGGCGCCUUGGUGUGGGUUGCACAGAGAACAGGGGCAUUGGUUCGUGCACUCAAAAGUCCAGUUGUCACCCGGGACUGGGACAUUCACAUCCCCAAGGAUGCGGUGUUGCUGUGCAGAGCCGCCCUGCCCCUGAGGCAGCAGCAGCAGGGAGAAUGUGUGCUCCUGUGUGCCUAGCCUCCCCUCCUUCAGUGGAUCAUUCAUUCUCCAGAAUAGUAAAGCAGGUGGAGAGCCUGAUGCUUGUGGAAAUGAUUUGCUCAGGGUCUCGCUGUCAGAAGUGGCAGAAAAGAUUCCAACCUGUUUUGAAUGCUGCAUACUGAGCUGACUCUCAUCCGUGCCAUCAUACCUACUUUUGGAUUUCAAUCCUCCUGAAGGCAGGAAACAUAUUCCAUCUGCUUUUAUAUACUCCAUAACACUAGUGAGCAAGCUUUGCUCAACGUAACAUUGAAUAUUUUGCUAAAUCUAGGUGAAAAAGAAGUACAGAUUUAACACCAUCAAAAGUCAAUAUUCGAGAAAGAGAGACAGAUUUAGCAUUAGCUGUACCAAUCAAAUCAAUGUUAACAUGCACUUAUUCUCUGCAUGGGAGUAAGACACCAAACACAAUUGAAAAAAUGAGCCAAGUAUAAAAAAUGUGUCACAAAGGGAUGGAUUUAGACAGACAGAAGAGCAGUGAAGUAGGUUAUAAAAUGCUCAGCAUAAUCCAUUUUAAUGAAUUAUUAGCUGAAACAUGCAAAGCGUUUAGGAUUUCUGGGAGACGUGUACAAACAUACCAAAUGUUUGUCUGACAUUUUCUUCCCUGCUUCUGUCUUUCUCCAGGGCUGGAGAUGCUGUUGACUGAUGGCCUUGGGAGGAGAGGUUGCAGCUGAGCCCACACUCUCAAAAUCCUCCAGACUGUUUCUACUUUUGUAGACUAAUUUUCUGUUAACCCAAAAUCCCUCAGACUUACUCAACCAGUACAGCAGUCAUUGGCCGGAGUUCAAUUUUCUGGUUCGAAGGAAUGUGAGUUCUACCUGCCAGUACUGAUUGUUAACAGUUAUGGCUUCAUACGUAGAGGAGGUGUGUCUUUGCUCACUACA
Molecule: long non-coding RNA, 1144 nt
Filed under: Callithrix jacchus (white-tufted-ear marmoset)
Lineage: Eukaryota; Metazoa; Chordata; Mammalia; Primates; Cebidae
Description: lncRNA (ENSCJAG00000079191.1)
Source: RNAcentral